This 400-nucleotide ribosomal RNA is filed under the name uncultured bacterium. RNAcentral describes it as "bacterial SSU rRNA". It matches the Rfam family "Bacterial small subunit ribosomal RNA", at positions 355 to 772 of the family's 1533-position model. The record is from RNAcentral.
UGGGGAAUAUUGGACAAUGGGGGCAACCCUGAUCCAGCAAUGCCGCGUGAGUGAUGAAGGCCUUCGGGUUGUAAAGCUCUUUUGCCAGGGACGAUGAUGACGGUACCUGGAGAAUAAGCCCCGGCUAACUUCGUGCCAGCAGCCGCGGUAAUACGAAGGGGGCUAGCGUUGUUCGGAAUUACUGGGCGUAAAGGGCGCGUAGGCGGUCUGAUAAGUUAGGUGUGAAAUUCCCGGGCUUAACCUGGGGGCUGCACUUAAUACUGUUGGGCUUGAAUCCGGGAGAGGAUAGCGGAAUUCCCAGUGUAGAGGUGAAAUUCGUAGAUAUUGGGAAGAACACCAGUGGCGAAGGCGGCUAUCUGGACCGGUAUUGACGCUGAGGCGCGAAAGCGUGGGGAGCAAA